This 253-nucleotide ribosomal RNA is filed under the name uncultured bacterium. RNAcentral describes it as "partial 16S ribosomal RNA". It matches the Rfam family "Bacterial small subunit ribosomal RNA", at positions 524 to 776 of the family's 1533-position model. The record is from RNAcentral.
UACGGAGGAUGCAAGCGUUAUCCGGAAUCAUUGGGCGUAAAGCGUCCGCAGGUGGCAGUUCAAGUCUGCUGUCAAAGACUGGGGCUUAACCCUAGAAAGGCAGUGGAAACUGAACAGCUAGAGUGCGGGAUGGGAGAGUGGAAUUCCUGGUGUAGCGGUGAAAUGCUUAGAUAUGAUACAGAACACCAAUUGCGAAGGCAGCUCACUAAACUAAAACUGACGCUGAGGCACGAAAGCGUGGGGAGCAAACAGG